This 240-nucleotide unclassified non-coding RNA is filed under the name plant metagenome. RNAcentral's name for it is "partial contains small subunit ribosomal RNA, internal transcribed spacer 1, and 5.8S ribosomal RNA". The record is from RNAcentral.
UUUCCGUAGGUGAACCUGCGGAAGGAUCAUUACUGAGUUAGGGUCUUUAUGGCCCGACCUCCAACCCUUUAUUUAAUCUACCAUGUUGCUUUGGCAGGCCCGCUUAGAAAUGGGCCGCCGGAGACCUUUGAGUCUCUGGUCAGUGCCUGCCAGUAGCCUUUCUAAAUUCAUUUAUAACCGUGUCUGAAUAUACAAAGAAAAAUUAAAAUAAAACUUUCAACAACGGAUCUCUUGGUUCUG